This 470-nucleotide ribosomal RNA is filed under the name uncultured bacterium. Its description in RNAcentral is "bacterial SSU rRNA". It matches the Rfam family "Bacterial small subunit ribosomal RNA", at positions 62 to 518 of the family's 1533-position model. The record is from RNAcentral.
UCCAAUGAAGUAGCAAUACGGAUGGUGAGAGUGGCGAAGGGCGAGGAACACGUGAGCAACCUGCCUUGAGGUGGGGAAAACCGUUGGAAACGACGGCUAAUACCGAAUGUGGCGCCCGGAGACAUCUCCGGAGCGCUAAAGGGGGCCCAAAAGGCUCUCCCUCUUCGAGGGGCUCGCGCACCAUCAGCUUGUUGGCGGGUAACGGCCCACCAAGGCUUACGGUUAGCUGGUCUGAGAGGAUGGCCAGCCGCACUGGGACUGAGAUACUGCCCAGACUCCUACGGGAGGCUGCAGUCGAGGAUCAUUCGCAAUGGGGGAAACCCUGACGAGUGCGACGCUGCGUGGAGGAUGAAGGGUACCCUUCGGGUUGUAAACUCCUGUCAUGAUGGAAAAGGAGAGGGGACCCAACACGUCCCUGAUUUGAUGGUACAUCAAGAGGAAGAGACGGCUAACUCUGUGCCAGCAGCUGC